AAACUGCGAAUGGCUCAUUAAAUCAGUUAUCGUUUAUUUGAUAGUACCUUACUACUUGGAUAACCGUGGUAAUUCUAGAGCUAAUACAUGCUAAAAACCCCGACUUCGGGAGGGGUGUAUUUAUUAGAUAAAAAACCAAUGCCCUUCGGGGCUCUUUGGUGAUUCAUGAUAACUUAACGGAUCGCAUGGCCUUGCGCCGGCGACGGUUCAUUCAAAUUUCUGCCCUAUCAACUUUCGAUGGUAAGGUAUUGGCUUACCAUGGUUUCAACGGGUAACGGGGAAUUAGGGUUCGAUUCCGGAGAGGGAGCCUGAGAAACGGCUACCACAUCCAAGGAAGGCAGCAGGCGCGCAAAUUACCCAAUCCCGACACGGGGAGGUAGUGACAAUAAAUACUGAUACAGGGCUCUUUUGGGUCUUGUAAUCGGAAUGAGUACAAUUUAAACCCCUUAACGAGGAACAAUUGGAGGGCAAGUCUGGUGCCAGCAGCCGCGGUAAUUCCAGCUCCAAUAGCGUAUAUUAAAGUUGUUGCAGUUAAAAAGCUCGUAGUUGAACCUUGGGCCUGGCUGGCCGGUCCGCCUCACCGCGUGUACUGGUCCGGCCGGGCCUUUCCUUCUGGAGAGCCGCAUGCCCUUCACUGGGUGUGUCGGGGAACCAGGACUUUUACUUUGAAAAAAUUAGAGUGUUCAAAGCAGGCCUUUGCUCGAAUACGUUAGCAUGGAAUAAUAGAAUAGGACGUGCGGUCCUAUUUUGUUGGUUUCUAGGACCGCCGUAAUGAUUAAUAGGGAUAGUCGGGGGCAUCAGUAUUCAAUUGUCAGAGGUGAAAUUCUUGGAUUUAUUGAAGACUAACUACUGCGAAAGCAUUUGCCAAGGAUGUUUUCAUUAAUCAGUGAACGAAAGUUAGGGGAUCGAAGACGAUCAGAUACCGUCGUAGUCUUAACCGUAAACUAUGCCGACUAGGGAUCGGGCGAUGUUUCUAUCUUGACUCGCUCGGCACCUUACGAGAAAUCAAAGUUUUUGGGUUCUGGGGG
This 1028-nucleotide ribosomal RNA is filed under the name Byssolophis sphaerioides. RNAcentral's name for it is "SSU rRNA". It matches the Rfam family "Eukaryotic small subunit ribosomal RNA", at positions 84 to 1120 of the family's 1831-position model. Lineage: Eukaryota; Fungi; Ascomycota; Dothideomycetes; Pleosporales. The record is from RNAcentral.